Phoenix dactylifera (date palm) is the source of this 873-nucleotide non-coding RNA. NCBI's taxonomy places the organism in Eukaryota, Viridiplantae, Streptophyta, Magnoliopsida, Arecales, Arecaceae. The record is from RefSeq and is a predicted model, not a curated record.
UGAGGUAUUGGUGUGCACACAGGAUUGGCUUCGAGACAGCUUGCCUCAUCUUGCAGAUGAUCCACCUUCUCAUACAAAAUACAAGAUUGAAGAUUACGAAACUGUUGUUGAUAUUAAUAUCGAUGAUUAACUUAUGCUGAUGUAGGUGCAAGCAAAGAGAAAUUUAUGAUUCCAUGUGUUCAAGUUAGAAGGAUGUAUACAUUGCAUGACAAACCUGUUUACAUAACCAGCAAAGACAGCAUAACUUCAAAGCUCCUGCACAAACAUAAAAGUGUACUCAUUGAUGCUUAAACUUUAUAAUUUUAUAGUAUAAUGAUCGUAAACUGAUGUUGCUUCUUUGCUUUAUGCAGGAUGGUGGUAAUCUAUCUUAACUAAUGGGACAAGUCAUCUUCACUGAACAUGAUGUUGAUGUUGUGAUGCAUCCUUUUGGAUUGUCAUAUGGGGUAGAAUUUUGCUGUGAUGUAGUAAAUUGUAAUGUUGUGAUCCUAAAACUGUGACCCAGGUUGUAAUGCUGUUGUUUGGAUUGUCCUUUGUCAUAUGGGGUUGAAUUUUGCUUUGAAAAAUCCUUUGAUGCUAAUACUGUAACCAGCUUUGAUUCUUUAUGAAUAGCAAUUACAAGUUGCAACUGUUCAAAUGUUUAUGUUUUAGAUGGAAAGUUGCACCUGUUCAAAUGUUUUAGAUGCAGGUACUUGCAGUCUCAAUGUUGGACAAGUUGAUUUUGUUUUAGAUCUGAACCUAUUUUGAAUGUAACAGAUGGAUAAAUGUGUUUUGAAUAAGCUAGAUCUAAACCUGGUUGAUCAGUUUGCCUUCAAUUUUUUUGGUGAAACGUAUUCUGAACCGGUUUUGAAUGUAACAGAUAUUGAAUUGUUGAGC